This 492-nucleotide ribosomal RNA is filed under the name uncultured bacterium. RNAcentral's name for it is "partial 16S ribosomal RNA". It matches the Rfam family "Bacterial small subunit ribosomal RNA", at positions 29 to 507 of the family's 1533-position model. The record is from RNAcentral.
AGUGAACGCUGGCGGUAGGCCUAACACAUGCAAGUCGAACGGCAGCACAGUAAGAGCUUGCUCUUACGGGUGGCGAGUGGCGGACGGGUGAGGAAUAGAUCGGAAUCUACUUUUUCGUGGGGGAUAACGUAGGGAAACUUACGCUAAUACCGCAUACGACCUACGGGUGAAAGCAGGGGAUCUUCGGACCUUGCGCGAUUGAAUGAGCCGAUGUCGGAUUAGCUAGUUGGCGGGGUAAAGGCCCACCAAGGCAACGAUCCGUAGCUGGUCUGAGAGGAUGAUCAGCCACACUGGAACUGAGACACGGUCCAGACUCCUACGGGAGGCAGCAGUAGGGAAUAUUGGACAAUGGGCGAAAGCCUGAUCCAGCAAUACUGCGUGAGUGAAGAAGGCCUUCGGGUUGUAAAGCCCUUUUAUUGGGAAAGAAAAGCAGCAGAUUAAUACCCCGAUGUUCUGACGGUACCCAAAGAAUAAGCACCGGCUAACUUCGUG